This 761-nucleotide ribosomal RNA is filed under the name uncultured bacterium. RNAcentral describes it as "bacterial SSU rRNA". It matches the Rfam family "Bacterial small subunit ribosomal RNA", at positions 8 to 760 of the family's 1533-position model. The record is from RNAcentral.
AGAGUUUGAUCCUGGCUCAGAUUGAACGCUGGCGGCAGGCCUAACACAUGCAAGUCGAGCGGUAGCACAGAGAGCUUGCUCUCGGGUGACGAGCGGCGGACGGGUGAGUAAUGUCUGGGAAACUGCCUGAUGGAGGGGGAUAACUACUGGAAACGGUAGCUAAUACCGCAUAACGUCGCAAGACCAAAGUGGGGGACCUUCGGGCCUCAUGCCAUCAGAUGUGCCCAGAUGGGAUUAGCUAGUAGGUGGGGUAAUGGCUCACCUAGGCGACGAUCCCUAGCUGGUCUGAGAGGAUGACCAGCCACACUGGAACUGAGACACGGUCCAGACUCCUACGGGAGGCAGCAGUGGGGAAUAUUGCACAAUGGGCGCAAGCCUGAUGCAGCCAUGCCGCGUGUAUGAAGAAGGCCUUCGGGUUGUAAAGUACUUUCAGCGAGGAGGAAGGCGUUAAGGUUAAUAACCUUGGCGAUUGACGUUACUCGCAGAAGAAGCACCGGCUAACUCCGUGCCAGCAGCCGCGGUAAUACGGAGGGUGCAAGCGUUAAUCGGAAUUACUGGGCGUAAAGCGCACGCAGGCGGUCUGUUAAGUCAGAUGUGAAAUCCCCGGGCUCAACCUGGGAACUGCAUUUGAAACUGGCAGGCUUGAGUCUUGUAGAGGGGGGUAGAAUUCCAGGUGUAGCGGUGAAAUGCGUAGAGAUCUGGAGGAAUACCGGUGGCGAAGGCGGCCCCCUGGACAAAGACUGACGCUCAGGUGCGAAAGC